CUAAGGAUGGUUCUUCAGAAGCUUGCUUCUAUCGAACCGUUUUAGAAACAUCAGUGGCCAACGAUCGUCAGGAUCGUUGAGCUGCAUUGGCGGGAUUUCGCCGUCUUCGUUUCUCUUUCUUCGCGGACGAACACGCGCUGGGCCUGCGAGAGCAGGGUCCCUGGUCCUUGACGGGAUAUGCGUUAGGGGCUUGUAGCUCAGUUGGUUAGAGCGCGCGCUUGAUAAGCGUGAGGUCGGAAGUUCAAGUCUUCCCAGGCCCACCACACUCAUCGGGUAAGCAUUCGUCUUCUGGUUACGGGGCCAUAGCUCAGCUGGGAGAGCGCGUGCUUUGCAAGCAUGAGGUCGUCGGUUCGAUCCCGUCUGGCUCCACCAGAUGGUUUGAUCACCGACGCUGUGUUUGCAGCUAUUCAACCGUCGUCCGCGAAACAUCACUUCGCACCUACUAGUCUGGAUAGACAGUAGGUUGCGUGAUUUCUGACAUCGUAAAGAGGAGAUCGAUCCGAGUUGGAUCGGGCAGCAAGCAAUUGCUGCGCGAACCUUCAUUAUCUCCGGAUCAUUUCGGCGCUCGCGCGCCUUUCAAUGCGGCUCACAAGGCUGCGUCUGAGGGGAAUGCGGGUUGUAAAUGAUCCUUUUAGCGAAGCUUGACCGCCUCGCUAUCGGAACGAUCUUACGAAGCAAGCUGGUCUUUCUAAUCAUUGUCCGGCUGUACGUAGCGUUCAUCGAGGGCGCGUGCCGCAAGGCAAUCGUACAGACAACAUUCUGCCGAGUGUGUGGACAUUGAUAAUGAGAGC
This 791-nucleotide transfer RNA is filed under the name Bradyrhizobium japonicum. The stretch from base 187 to 260 matches the Rfam family "tRNA". Lineage: Bacteria; Pseudomonadati; Pseudomonadota; Alphaproteobacteria; Hyphomicrobiales; Nitrobacteraceae. RNAcentral also lists the same sequence under 1 other name. The record is from RNAcentral.